GAUGAACGCUGGCGGCGUGCCUAAUACAUGCAAGUCGAGCGAACGGACGAGAAGCUUGCUUCUCUGAUGUUAGCGGCGGACGGGUGAGUAACACGUGGAUAACCUACCUAUAAGACUGGGAUAACUUCGGGAAACCGGAGCUAAUACCGGAUAAUAUUUUGAACCGCAUGGUUCAAAAGUGAAGGACGGUCUUGCUGUCACUUAUAGAUGGAUCCGCGCUGCAUUAGCUAGUUGGUAAGGUAACGGCUUACCAAGGCAACGAUGCAUAGCCGACCUGAGAGGGUGAUCGGCCACACUGGAACUGAGACACGGUCCAGACUCCUACGGGAGGCAGCAGUAGGGAAUCUUCCGCAAUGGGCGAAAGCCUGACGGAGCAACGCCGCGUGAGUGAUGAAGGUCUUCGGAUCGUAAAACUCUGUUAUUAGGGAAGAACAUAUGUGUAAGUAACUGUGCACAUCUUGACGGUACCUAAUCAGAAAGCCACGGCUAACUACGUGCCAGCAGCCGCGGUAAUACGUAGGUGGCAAGCGUUAUCCGGAAUUAUUGGGCGUAAAGCGCGCGUAGGCGGUUUUUUAAGUCUGAUGUGAAAGCCCACGGCUCAACCGUGGAGGGUCAUUGGAAACUGGAAAACUUGAGUGUAGAAGAGGAAAGUGGAAUUCCAUGUGUAGCGGUGAAAUGCGCAGAGAUAUGGAGGAACACCAGUGGCGAAGGCGACUUUCUGGUCUGUAACUGACGCUGAUGUGCGAAAGCGUGGGGAUCAAACAGGAUUAGAUACCCUGGUAGUCCACGCCGUAAACGAUGAGUGCUAAGUGUUAGGGGGUUUCCGCCCCUUAGUGCUGCAGCUAACGCAUUAAGCACUCCGCCUGGGGAGUACGACCGCAAGGUUGAAACUCAAAGGAAUUGACGGGGACCCGCACAAGCGGUGGAGCAUGUGGUUUAAUUCGAAGCAACGCGAAGAACCUUACCAAAUCUUGACAUCCUUUGACAACUCUAGAGAUAGAGCCUUCCCCUUCGGGGGACAAAGUGACAGGUGGUGCAUGGUUGUCGUCAGCUCGUGUCGUGAGAUGUUGGGUUAAGUCCCGCAACGAGCGCAACCCUUAAGCUUAGUUGCCAUCAUUAAGUUGGGCACUCUAAGUUGACUGCCGGUGACAAACCGGAGGAAGGUGGGGAUGACGUCAAAUCAUCAUGCCCCUUAUGAUUUGGGCUACACACGUGCUACAAUGGACAAUACAAAGGGCAGCGAAACCGCGAGGUCAAGCAAAUCCCAUAAAGUUGUUCUCAGUUCGGAUUGUAGUCUGCAACUCGACUACAUGAAGCUGGAAUCGCUAGUAAUCGUAGAUCAGCAUGCUACGGUGAAUACGUUCCCGGGUCU
Molecule: ribosomal RNA, 1372 nt
Filed under: uncultured bacterium
Lineage: Bacteria
Description: bacterial SSU rRNA
Rfam family: Bacterial small subunit ribosomal RNA
Source: RNAcentral